UAAUUUAUUUGAAGAAGAUUCUCAUCUAGUUAUGGUAAAGUCACAUCUUAUUGUUUAAAAUAUAUAUUUUAGAAUCACCUGUGAGGAUGAGUA
Populus trichocarpa (black cottonwood) is the source of this 93-nucleotide non-coding RNA. Lineage: Eukaryota; Viridiplantae; Streptophyta; Magnoliopsida; Malpighiales; Salicaceae. The record is from Rfam.